GAUAAAAUGGCUGAGGAUAAGCGAUAAAUUGUAAAUUUAUUAACAAGAAUAUUUCUUUUUUAUUA
This 65-nucleotide transfer RNA is filed under the name Kamalia tattakana. Its description in RNAcentral is "tRNA-Tyr". The record is from RNAcentral. Lineage: Eukaryota; Metazoa; Arthropoda; Insecta; Lepidoptera; Notodontidae.